GCAGGCCUACGGGGCGCAGCAGAGAGGAAUAUUGGUCAAUGGGCGGUAGCCUGAACCAGCCAAGUAGCGUGAAGGAUGAAGGUUCUAUGGAUUGUAAACUUCUUUUAUAAAGGAAUAAAGUGAGGCACGUGUGCCUUUUUGUAUGUACUUUAUGAAUAAGGAUCGGCUAACUCCGUGCCAGCAGCCGCGGUAAUACGUAGGAUGCGAGCGUUAUCCGGAUUUAUUGGGUUUAAAGGGAGCGUAGAUGG
RNAcentral lists this ribosomal RNA (248 nucleotides) under uncultured bacterium. RNAcentral describes it as "partial 16S ribosomal RNA". It matches the Rfam family "Bacterial small subunit ribosomal RNA", at positions 333 to 578 of the family's 1533-position model. The record is from RNAcentral.